GGAAGCUCAUAGUCCGUCAGGACGAGGCAGCAGUAGAGAAUAUUGUGCAAUGUACGGCAGUAUGACACAGAGAGCACACGCCCUCUUGGCCUGUCCAACUAAGUGCCAGCAGACGCGGUUAGACUUAGGGGCCAAGCCUUUAUGAGCAAAGGGGCGUAAAGGGUGUGUAGGCCGACUGCCCCACCCCCCCCCAAGGUGGUAAAUGGAAUUUUUCUGUAGCGGUAGAAUGUGCGGAUAGAAAAUAGAACCCCAAAAGCUGAAGCAAUUUACCGCGGGGCGGGAGGGGGGGCCCCCUGGGGCGCCCCCCCGGGCUACGGGCUGAAACACGAGGGUGUGGGUAACAAACAGGAUUAGAGACCCUGGUAGUCCACACUGUAAACGAUGGAGAAAAUGCGAAUGCAGCCCCGAAAGGCAGCAAUCUCCCGCCUGAGUAGUACGAUCGCAAGAUUAAAAUUCAAAAAAUUUGGCUGUUCACCGUUUCGAUUAGAGGAGCGUGUAGUUUAAUUCGAUAAACCGCGAGAUACCUUACCCAAACUUGAAUCCUUGAGGAUUCCAAGGAAUCCUUAUGGACCGGUAUUGCAUGGCCGUCGUCAGUUCGUGUAUGAAACCUUAAACGGACCCAACCCGAGGAUUGGCCGCGGAUGAAGUCAGGUCUUAUGGUCCCAAUGUUUGGGGAUAAUAUGCGCUACAUUUUCUUAUACAAUGGGAAACCUGGGAGGUGAAACCCAAAAGUGAGAGUUCGGUAGGCUAUUGGAAGAUGGCCGAAAGUUGAAUUUAAUAGUAAUCGGAAAGUAUAGCGUUCCGGUGAAAUGGUCUAGGUGUUAGCACAAAUCGCCCGUCACCUUAACUUAGGAUGAUGGUUCGGACGCCGCCGCGCCCCCCCGGGUCCCGGCGGUUACGGGCCCUACGAAGUUAAGCAA
Molecule: ribosomal RNA, 920 nt
Filed under: Palythoa cf. grandis TDS-2010
Lineage: Eukaryota; Metazoa; Cnidaria; Anthozoa; Zoantharia; Sphenopidae
Description: partial 12S ribosomal RNA
Rfam family: Bacterial small subunit ribosomal RNA
Source: RNAcentral